AUGGUGUUUCUGCAGAUGCUCCGGAUCCGGGAUGGGAGCAUCACGGAUUUAAGCAUGAUUUGUUGCUCAAUUUCUAGGAUCCAGAAGUUCCCGACGUCGUUGAGUGUGGAACAGAUCACUCGGAGCUUAGAGGCCUACUUAAUGUGGUUUUUCGGCAAAGUGAUGUUCACAGAGAACCAUGUCACCACUAUUAGCGCGCUACAUCCCUAUGGCACUCGAGAUAGCGAGCGCUGA
RNAcentral lists this ribosomal RNA (234 nucleotides) under Triticum aestivum (bread wheat). RNAcentral describes it as "partial small subunit ribosomal RNA". The record is from RNAcentral. Lineage: Eukaryota; Viridiplantae; Streptophyta; Magnoliopsida; Poales; Poaceae.